UUCACCUGAGAUCCUUCCUGAGAGGCCUCAUAGUUGGCUCGUUCCCUCUCUUCCUGUCUACGUCCCAUGUCUUCUACAUCCUGAAUGGUUUGAUUUACUUUCUUUAAUGUCCUGCCUACUUCAGUGGUUACUAUUUGUCUCAAUUCAACCACUUCCUUGUGUAGCUGCUCCAUUGAGCUAGUAAUCUCCUCUACAUCGACAUCCAUUUCUCCCCCAUUGAUUGUCAUCACUACCUGCUGUUUGGGCUGUUCGUAUGUAGGGGGAUGGCUUAAUGUUGGGUAUAAUAAAGUGGGGUUGGGUUUUUCUGAGGGCGGAGCAGAGGGGGUAGUCUGAGCACUUCCUGUAUUCUCUUCCUUUUUCUCUUUGACUUUUGAGCUGUCUUUCCUGCACUAAGUGCUGUAGCUGUCAUUGCUAGUCUGGUCCACAUACGCAAUCUUUUCGUAAGCUCUCCUCGUUCACCUAUAUGUCUGCUUGAUUUAUACCACUUCACUUUAUCUUUUUCUUCCUGAUGUCUUUGUAACCUACAAUAUGCUCUUCUCUCCAUGUCUCUAAUUUUUGGUGCUAACGGAGUCAUCACCUUUUCUGCACUUUCCCAUCCACACUCAUCACAUAAUGCUACCCAACACUUAUCAAUUUCUUUCUGUCUUUGCUUUCUAUCUUUUGGUUCUGCCUGUGCUAAUAACAUAUCUGUAACAUUUUGCCACUGCACCAAUACUGGCGGACACCCGUAUUCGUCGCAUUCUUUCUGAAAUUCGGCCAUUUUACGCACAAAUUCUAUUCACAGUUUGCAAAACUUAUACAGUAUCUUUUUUCACACAGUUAAGUCAGUUUUCACAUUAAUUUUCACAUCAGCAAUUGCAUUCACUUUUAAAAAACAUUCAAACAUAUAACAGACAAUUUUGGAAUAUUCCUUUAUGAGUUCGCCGACUCAAAGGGAUUUAUUUCACCCUGGCCUUUUUCGUCCCAGACGCGAUUACCACAACGCACUUUAUGAGUUCCAAACUCAAAGGGAUUUAUUACCCUGGCCUUUUUUGUCCCAGACGCGAUUACCACAACGCAAUUUAUGAGUUCCAAACUCAAGGGUUUUUAUUACCCUGGCCUUUUUUGUCCCAGACGCGAUUACCACAACGCACAAAAUAUUGAGACCCAGUCUCUAAUUUCUUCAAUUCUUAUACUAUUACUUUUUAAAUCUGAUUUCUCAAACUUCUUUUUAUAGUUUACUUUUACUUACUCGGAAUGUUCAUCAAGUUCAACACAGCAAUUUAGGUAUAUUCAAUAGCAGAAUUUUGAAUAAACAGGCUUCUGCUUACCUUUUUAUCUUUAGGUCGACCUGUGUGUUGAACCUGAAUCCGUUCCGAUUCUCCAACGAAAUGUGCAAAAGAUGCCUUCGUCUCUCGUCAAAUCACGUCACGGGUCACCAAUUGUUGGACUUAAUGGUCAGUCCUGCAUGCUCAAAAAUUUGCACAGAGACGUUCUCCAAAAUUAAACAGACGUUUUAUUAUCAGAUGUAAAAAGGGUAACAAAGCUUUGGGUUGUCAGUCGCUCUCCACACUCUCUCAAAAGCCAACAACCCAGAUUAUUCAAAAAACACACAUAUUUAUUCAGUAUUUGACGUCGUUCUCAUCUUCUGACUCCUCCUUUUUCUCUGGGGAGUAUUGCUCCUUAGCAACCAAUCACCGUGAACCACGUUUAUCUGACUCCGUCCUUCUUUGUUAGUUCCUGCAAAACAACAUCUCUCACAACACAUGUUUUACAUCCUGUGGUCAGUCGCUAGUUUUGGGGAGUGUUCCCUAGAGACAGUUUCUUAUGGCCGGACAACAUACCAACAUUCUUUUAGUAAAAAGAAAACACUCAAUCAUCUAAUGCUUUUAAUUAUGUAGCGUUGUUUCUUAAUCCUAUGAUUCAUUAAAACACAUCACAACUCAUGAUUAUACUUAAAACAAAUGCAGUGGAUUGAUUCAUAACAUUUCUUUUAUGUGUGACUCUUUGUGUGUGUGUGUGUGUUGACUUAGUUAAAUUUAUGGUUCCAACCCCCACUUAUCCUGUCUCACUCCGCUUGCCACAGUAACUUUUCACUGAGUAAAAUAGCAAGCACAUGAUAAAAGCACACAGCUUAAUGAUUUAAUGAAAGAAAACACUUAUUGAUUAUAUUGAUAAUUAAAUCAUACUUUUAACUGAAAAAUAUUUCCACAAGAUCAAUCAUUUAACCCCCCCUGGGGUCCGAGUGGGUUUUAAAUCCUGGAGAAAUUUUGUCAUGUCCUGAGAUUUGUGCUUUUUAGUAAUGCACCCAUAUUUUAAUCCAUUGUUAUAAGUGGUGGGACAUUAUCACGUCGUGCUGUCAAUCACUCUCUGGUAACGUUACGCUGAGAACCCUCAAAGGCUUUUCAUUUAUAAUUAGCACUACACGAACCAGAAAUAUCACGCAAACAAAGCAAAUACAACAAAUCCGUGUUAUAUAAUGUACAUUGUCAGUAAAAAACAAGGUUCUUGAAGAACACAUUAACGUAUAUUUAAAAUGUAAUGGGAACUAGCAUUCUAGCACUACACAGGCAGCAGACAACGAUAGCGCGGGCUGCAUAAAUCUGGUCUCAGAACAGAUUACAAUUUAUGUCCUAACGUUACAUCGUUUCUGACAUCAGCCUUUUGAGCUUUAGACGUCUGAGGAAUUAAAAAGAAUGCCAUUAAAUGGUUAAAUAUCGUAAAUUAGUGUCACUCGUCAUAGGCUGUGGUAAAGUCAAUUCAAUUUUACCUCAGGUGGAAUAUGGCAGGUACACGCAGGCUUACAAAAUGCAAAGGAAAAUGAAAGUUAAAACAGGGUUCCCGGUGCUUGAUUACACGGAUAACAAAAACACGCUUAAGAAAAUAUAAAUUUUACCUUCUUAUUUUUUAUUAUUUCCAGUCCCGACUCGAUAAACUUGCUGCUCGGUGGAGUUGCCAGCGCGCCACUGCUCUGCCAAAGAUAUCCUUCCGCCGAUAAAGAAACUCAUCUGUAGUUUUAUUUAUUUAUUUUAUUUAAAUCAUAGCUGUCAUUUAAACAUUAAACAUUUUCAACAAAAGAAUAUUUAAUUAUGUGAUAUAAGAAAAAUCUACCAAAAAUCUAUCAAAACUGAGGAGAACUACUUUGUCAAGCGGAACAAAGUGUUCUCGGUCAGAGGUGUACUCGACUCCAUGCAUCACCUGCGCAAAGCAAUCGGGUUAUGACAUCAAGAUACCGCGACAUCGUUUCUAGGCAAAUGCUUCUUGAUCGAUUGCAAAUAAAUUGUUUACUUUACGUUCUUUGUGUAUGUUUUUGACCAGCAAACAAUGUGUAAUGAAGAAUUGGUGUAAAUUACAGUAGAAGUUAAAUAAUUUCUGUCUGUAAGGAUUUUUUGGUCACCCUAAUAAAAUCACUGGGUCUUACCUGGCCACCUCUAAAAAAAUAUUCUGGCUACGCCCCUGCCUAUAUAGCGAAUGCUAAAUAGUCCACUAUAUGGUGAAGAAGUGAAUGAAAAUGAGUGAACAAUUUCGGACAGUGACGUAAUACAUCCUGCGUCUGACAGUACUGUCACGGACAUUCGUCAUAACGCUUAUAAUACACCUGUGUGACUUUAUGGAUUUUUUCGUAAAAUUGUAAAGUUCAUUUUUACAUUAUUUGUCACGUUUAUUGUAGGCUAUUAGUUUUUAAUGAAGAGAAAAAAAACAAAUGUUUGCACGUUUAUUUACUAUUACAUUUAUUACGUUUAAUAAAAUUACUUAAUGUAUUUAAAAUAUAACACUGCUAUAUAUAACAUUCAUUUAAUCUGUUUAUUCUCAAAAAGUAGAAUAUAACUAUCAACAAGAACAAACACAAGUGUAAAAUCGUACAUUUGUACAAUUAAUUAAUGGUCACUCUCCUCCAGCUGAUUCUAAUCAGACUGAUUCGCGUUGUAUCAUGGGAAAUAUGAGUGAGCGAGUGUACACCCGAUGUACACUCAAAAUCAGAAUGCAUUGUGGGUAAAAAGUAGUUAACAAAUGUAGGGAAUGAGUUGUUUACUCAGAAUUCGGACAACACUACAAAAUGGUGGACACCCGAUAUAGUGCACUAUAUAGGAGGUAGGGGGCAAAUUCAGACACAGUUGGUCAUCACACCGGAAAGAGCAAUCGGUGCUUUCUAAUCACUCUCGCGGUACUUUGUUGUCAUUCGCUGUUCAGUCUGCGGAGCGCCGCGUGAAGUCGAUCACAAUUGCGAUUAGAAAGCACUUCAUCUUUCUGGCAUGACAACCUCAAGUCUGUCCCAAAAUGCACUCUCAUGUACCCUUGUGGACUUGGACAUAGUGCCCUAUAUGUCUGCACUUCCUGACAUCACCAGCUGUGGACUCCGAGGAGGUCCACAAGACCGGAGUGUGCCAAUUGGACCAGGGCCCUCAACUCCAGUCCUCGGGGCCCACCUGACAGAAUAUUUUAGAUGUGUCUCUUUUGAACAAGCUAAUGAGAUGAAUGAAGUGAUGAUUGAGUAAUUAAUGAUGAACACCUGCGGUUAACAAACACAAUCACAGAAGAAAACAUGAACAAUAAGUAGUCACCAUAAUGGUGUUUAGUGUUUCAUUCAGUUGACCUCUUGACUCUUGAUUUCUUAUGUUAAAUUAUAUUCUGGUCAGCUGUGAUAGUGUGUUUGUUGCAGCUGGAAUCAGGUGAUGUUGAUGGUUUUCUUCAGUGAUUGUGUUUGUGAACAGCAGGUAUUCAUCAUUAAUGAUCAAUCAUCAUUCGGACAGUCAAAAAAGCAUUUCACUGCAUGUCGUACUAUGUAUGGUUCUGUAUGUGACGAAUAAACUUUGAACAUUGAACACUUCAUUAUCUCAUUAGCUUGUUAAUGUGUUCAAUAGGGAGACAUCUAAAAUAUUCUGUCAGGUGGCCCCAAGGACUGGAGUUGAGAACCUAUGUCAUUUGGGACACAGCUACUGAUUCACGACCUGGGGAGCUAUGCUGGGUUCAGAUUGUGCGAUUUUGGGCUGUCUCAGACGAAAGAUGACAACCGUGGCGAUUUCUGUGGUCGUGGCUCGUAAACGCUGGUCCUACAUCACACAGUGAGAGAGACUGAAAGACGGCCGUUGUCAGUGUCUUGCGAUCAAAGACAUUCUGCAAUCAUUUUCUGGCAUUGUCAUAAAUUUAGCUUGAUCGUACGACCCACACCUACUGAGCAGCCAGUAAAAAUGCAACAUGAAACGAUGUAUUGAUUAACACUACAUGGAAAUAAAAGUUAAACGCCAUGGAGGCAAAAAAAAAAAGAUAAUAAUAUUGCUCUCUUCCGCUGCCACCUCUUCUUUUUUCCAGCACACAUGAACAGCACAACUGCCAAAGUGUGAUUCAUGUUGCUGUUUUUGUUUACAAUUUGCACACGUUUUUUUAGCUUGCACCGUAGCCAAGAUUCAGGAGGUGUCACCAUCGUAUAGUGUACAUGCAUGUAGUUCCCAAGUUUAUUAGAUCCAUGUGUGACCUGUCAUGAUAUUAUAAGGUCGCUGAAUUCGCACAGUCUGUAGCAUGCACAGCCAUAAUAAAUACCUACACACCGCAUUGGUCACAUUGGUACACUGCUGCGAUAACGUCAGCUGCCAAAUUACUCUGGACAAAAGCCCACACAACUGAACGGAAGAUCUGCACUUUUUGGCAUUAAAAGCACAAUCACGUUGUUUUAUUAAUGUACUUCCUUUAUCAUAAAGUUACUAGCAAUUAAGUAUCAAUUUACAAGUAUCAAAUAAAUACAUAAACAGAACAGAGGCUAGUCUAGUUUACACAAUUAUAAACUACCUAAGCAAAAGCUACCAAACAGCAGCACCACCAGGCUUGACAUACUCCAAAAUGUAAAUAAACAACACGUAUCAACUGGUUGUAAAAUACGGUCUCCCUCCAGCAACAUGCUUCCCACAAUAACGAAGACUUAAGAGGAACUGGUUUUAUCCCCAAUGUAGAAUAUGAAGGUCUUCCAUUGCUCCUCCUGAUACUGAAUGAUGUUUGUUCCAACAGAUAUUCUCUUAUGCUCACAUACACAGUAUUAUUAUUAAUAUUACAAUAAUUAUUUAUAAUAUAAACUGUAUCAUCAAAAAUGAUGUACAGUCAUGUGGAAUACAAGUACAAGCAUACUUCAACAUGAUGAAGAAUCUUUGAGGUCUUUCCUAUUGACUUUAAUUGUGAAAAUUAGUACACAAUGUUAAUUUCAUGUGUCAUAUUAUAGAUUAUAUUAAUUUAUUAUUAUGUACAUGAAGCGCGUAAGUAUAAUUGAUUAAUCUUGUCUUAUUGAGUUUAAACGCAGUGUCGUUGCUUUGUUUAUUUCCGCAUUUGUCACGUGGUAAACUCGCGUUUGUUCUCGUGCUGGUUUCGUUGUUAUUGGGAGAUAUUGGGAGGCGUGUCCUGCUGAAUUCAAUAGCGUGAUUCAGACGGGUAUUUAAGUGUGAUUAACCACCGCGGCAGCGGUCGCGUGCAGCCCUCAUCGCGUGAAGACCAAAGAGCGUAAAGACCAUCGACUCUACCUGCGCGACUCCACCGACAAGGCACUUGAGUAUUGCACCUCAGUAUUAACUUUUUGCACUUCUAUUUAUUCUCUUCUUUUUAUUUGUUAUUCCUUAUUCCACGUUUUUGACUAUGUGUUUUCAAAUCCCUACUCUCACUACAACUCGUAAAUCACUGUUAUCAAGUAGAAGGCCACGCAAUGCUAAUGCUAAUAAUUUGCACACACUUUCAGCAUCCACAACUACCUCAAUUACAUUUCCCAUUGGUUUAUGGAACUGCCAAUCUGCUGUAAACAAAGCAGAUUUCAUCACAGCUAUUGCUAAACAUUCUGGUCUUUCUCUUUUAGCACUUACUAAAACCUGGAGCCAGAGGACACUGCCACACCUGCUGCUCUCUCCAAUAACUACACUUUCUCCCACAGCCCACACAUAUCAGGGAAGGUGGAGGAACCAAUCUACUUAUUCCUAAUGACUGGAAAUUCAAACAGCUGGCACCCUCAUGCGACAACAUCGCCUUCGAGUCUCAUGCUGUUACUGUCAUCCACCCUGUUAAAACACAUGUUGUAGUUAUCUAUCAUCCCCCAGGUCAGCUUGGACAUUUCUUGGAGGAGUUGGAUGCGCUUCUGUCAUCCUUCCCCGAGGAUGGUACUCCUCUGGUGGUACUUGGAGACUUCAACAUCCACCUUGAAAAACCACAGGCUGCCGACUUCAACAACCUGACUGCGUCGUUUGACCUCAAGCGAGUCCCCACUUCAGCAACCCAUAAAUCUGGUAAUCAACUUGAUCUUAUCUACACACGCUACUGCUCCACUCAUCACUCCCAGGUCACCCCACUGCACAUGUCGGAUCAUUUCCUCAUCACGCUUCAUCUCGACCUAACUUGUCCAGACACUACACAUGCUUCCCCACUGGUCACAUUCCGGCGCAACCUACGAACACUCUCUCCCUUCCGCUUAUCCUCUGCGAUCUCAGCCACGCUCCCUCCCUCUGAACAGCUCUCACUCUUUGAUGCUAACAGCGCCACCCACACUCUUUUCUCCACACUAACCUCCUGCUUAGACAGCUUAUGCCCUCUUACAUCUAGGCCAUCUCGUGCAUCCCCUUCUGCCCCCUGGUUAUCUUAUGUUCUCCAUGAGCAUCUUGCCACGCUCAGGUCUGCUGAGAGAAAGUGGCACAAAUCUAAAGAACCCGCUGACCUCAGUCUCUAUCAAUCUCUCCUCUCUUCUUUCUCUGCUGAUGUCUCCUCUGCAAAAACCCAGUACUACCACGCUAAAAUCAACAACUCUCCUGACCCUCGUACUCUCUUUAAAACCGUCUCUGCUCUUCUUUGCCGCCUGCCCCCUCACCUCCAUCGGACUUAACAGCUGAUGAUUUUGCGUCUUUCUUUGUAAAGAAAAUGACCACCAUCAGCACUCAAUUCUCUGCGCCGCCGCCUCUUGACCACGCCCAAUCCCCAGACACAUGCUCACUCCCCUCUUUCUCUCUCCUAUCUGAAGACGACAUUUCCAAAGUCAUUUCUUCUAACCACCCGACUACCUGCCCGCUAGAUCCCAUCCCCACUCAUCUCCUCCAGGCCAUCUCUCCAUCGGUUGUUCCCACUCUGACCCACAUUAUCAACUCGUCUCUCACCACUAGUACAUUUCCCACACUCUUCAAAUAGGCCUGUAUUACCCCACUACUGAAGAAACCCACUCUUAAUCCUGCACUGUUAGAAAACUACAGACCGGUAUCCCUCCUCCCCUUCAUUGCUAAAACUCUUGAACGUGUUGUAUAUAACCAGCUCUCAUCCUUUCUCACCCAGAACAACCUCCUGGACAGCAACCAGUCUGGUUUCAAGAGCGGUCAUUCCACUGAGACUGCGCUGCUCUCUGUCAUUGAAGCCCUGAGACUGGAAAGAGCCACCUCUAACCCAUCUGUUCCUAUCCUAUUGGAUCUAUCUGCCGCCUUUGACACCGUUAACCAUCACAUCCUCCUGUCGACCCUCAAGGCUAUGGGUGUCUCUGGAAUGGUCCUACAAUGGUUCAGGUCUUACCUCUCAGGUAGGUCAUUUAGAGUAUCCUGGAGAGGUGAGGUCUCUGAGUCCCAACAUCUCGACACAGGGGUGCCUCAGGGCUCAGUGCUUGGUCCGUUGCUAUUUUCUGUAUACAUGACAUCCCUAGGCUCUGUCAUUCGGAAACAUGGCUUUUCCUAUCACUGCUAUGCGGUCUUUUCAGCCUGACGAUCCGACUGUUUCUGCACGCAUUUCAGCAUGCCUAGCCGACAUCUCGCUCUGGAUGAAGGACCAUCGCCUGCAGCUGAACCUUGCAAAAACAGAACUGCUUGUAAUCCCGGCCGACACAUAGAUUCAUCACAACUUCUCCAUUCAACUGGGCUCAUCAACCAUCACAUCUUCCAGAAAGGCCAGAAACCUGGGAGUGGUGAUCGAUGAUCAGCUUAACCUCACAGAUCAGGUUGCCAGCACCACCCGGUCCUGUAGAUUCAUCCUCUACAAUAAUAGGAAAAUUAGACCCUUCCUAUCAGAGCAUGCUACGCAAGUCCUAGUCCAGGCUCUUGUUCUGUCCAGACUGGACUACUGCAAUGCGCUACUGGCUGGACUUCCAGCUUGCACAACCAAACCUCUACAGAUGAUCCAGAAUGCAGCGGCAAGAGUGGUCUUCAACGAACCGAAAAGAGCAAACAUCACCCCUCUCUUCAUUAAGUUACAUUGGCUCUCUAUAGUGGCUCGCAUCAAAUUCAAGACUCUGUUCCUGGCCUACAAGACCGCCACUGGUUCGGCACCCUCUUAUCUUCACUCGCUAAUGCAGACGUACGUACCCGCAAGAUCCCUACACUCUGCAAACGAACGACGUCUUGUGGUGCCGUCCCAAAAAGGUAAAAAUUCUCGCUCACGUACCUUCUCGGGAUCGGUUCCACUUAUGUGGAAUGAUCUGCCCGCUGCUACAAGCUCUGCAGAUUUUGUAGCCAUCUUUAUGAAUCAUCUGAAAAUGCAUCUCUUCCGUCAACACCUGACCGAUCAGUUCUGACUUCUAUUUAUUUUCUACUCUUUCAAAUAAAAAGAAAAAAGAAAAAAAGAAACCUUCCAACUUAGCUCUGUAUGCUGUGGUAUGCUAUAUGAGACCAGUUUUUUUAUUGCACUUAUGCUUUUUGUUGUCCUUAUGUUGUCCCAAUUGCUUCCAUUGUUUACCCCAUCUGUAAGUCGCUUUGGAUAAAAGUGUCAUGAACGGUGGGUGGUGAGAGACACGAAGACAAGGACAGAGGACCCAAGUGCAGACAGCGGGUAAGGGGUUAACACAAACUUUAAUAAAAAUAAGCAACAAAACAAAGACCCACGUGGGGGUAAAGUAACAAACAUGGACACAGGAACAAGACUAACUAAACUAACAGGACUAGACUAAAACACAUCACAACUACAAAAUAAACUAAACUAACUCAAAGACAGGAACUCACCACAUUACACAAACACGACAGUACAAUGAACCAGCACGAGACAGAAGACACAAGGGCAUUAUAAAGGGGAUAAAUCAAGAGGGGACAGGUGCAGGACAUGAACUAAUUAACAAACAAUAACGAGGCGAAAGGGCGGGAACAGAGACGCCACACCGGAGAGAGGGAGUAUAUGGAAUGCCAAAACUGACUCUCUCCACAUAAAACAAGAGGUUCUAUCAUGGUUCUGCCACUAGGUCAAGAAAAGCAAGACAAGGUGAGACAGAACCAUGACAUAAAAGCGUCUGCUAAGUGACUAAAUGUAAAUGUAAAUGUAAAUACUACCUGACAUGAAGUCUAGACAAACUGUACUAUAAACACAAACUGUAAAGACUGAGUAGGAAAAAAUAUCAAUUGGCUUUCGGAUACAUAAUACAUAAGAUAACUGAGUAAAUUUUUUGAGGUGUAUGAUUUGUGAUAAACAAAAGUUAUCAUAACACCACCGCAUCAAUGUGAAAACACAUGCACUGGCCCUGAUUUGUUGGAUGGGCAUACAUCUGAUGGAGAUGAUGUUCACAGACAAAGUAUAUGUGCUUUACACUGCAUCUUCUGGACAUCUUACAUACAAAAGUGAUUAAAGAAAAUAUUUUGAUAUGAUUAAAGAAAAAAUGUUAAGCCCUCAAGUCCUAAAAACGGCACACUAUAAAUAUUUACAGUGUUAUACAUUAAUAAUUUCCAUUCUAUUUUCAGCUAUAUCAAAGGACAUUUAUAAGGCUUUAGUGGACAUCAGUGACAACCUUUUUCAGCGGUGGAGGCUUCUGGGGAUAGAUAAAAAAAAGAUUGGUAGCAAAAAGAGAAUGAUUUACUGUUUUAUGACAAACAAAUGUUUAAUUAAAACGGGAAAGUGAUAGUUAAUUGUGCUCUACUGGUCAAAAAGACACAUCAGCGCCUGUUCUUUCUAGGAAUCUGAAAAAGAACCAUCUCUCUUCAGAAAUUCUGGUGAACUUUUACUGAUGCGCCAUCGAGAAUAUUCUGACCAAAUGUAUUUUAGAAACUGCUCUGUAUUAGACCGGAAAGCAGUUGGUGGUGAAAACUGCCGAACGCAUCGCUGGAGUUACACUUCCAAACAUGGAAGAUAUUUACAGGAAACACUGUCACAGGAAAGCACACAUCAUCGUAAAAGACUUCUCCCACCCUCCUCUGGGAGGCGCUACAGGAGCCUCCGGACCAGAACUACUAGGUUCAAGAACAGCUUUUUUCCUUCAGCUGUUUCCACUCCGAACUCUAUCCCCCAGUAAUUCCAUCAUCCCCCCUCACCCCAUUACACAACAUCUUCUCCAUUGUACUAUCCCUAACCACUGCACUCACAGUAUACAUCACCUCCUCCUUGAAUAAUAACUUAAUUUCUAAAAAUAGCCAAGGUCAAAAGUUUACAUCCCCCUGAUUAGUAAUACCGUAUGAUAUUACCUGCAUAAUCGAUGCCCAUUUUUAUGUGUUGUCAUAGUUGUUUAAGGGUUUCUUGUUUGUCCUGAGUCAUUUAUCUGUAAACCUCUGAAAAUGACAACUGGUGUAAUUGUUUAUAUUUCAUUUCCUGAUAAAUAUAUAUGCAUUUUAUAUCUUCUUAAGGACAUUACUAAAUGAAAAAUAAGAUAUAUAAACAACAACAAAAAACAAUUUACUCCAAUUGUCAUUUUCAGAGGUUUACCCACCUGACUUUAAAUGAACGGUGUUGCCUUCAUGAGCAUCACUGAAUGUUUCUAUCUAUUGUAAUAGUUGUGUAUCAGUCUCUUGAUUGUCCUCAAUGUAAACACAUGAAUCUCAACAUCAUACUGUUACUUUUGGACAUGAGUCAAAUAUCCAGGAAUGCUGAAAAAACAAAGAUUCUGAAGGACCUGGAUAAUUUAUCUGAAGAUCAGUGGACAGUUUAAUGACUCAGGGCAGGACUAAAUUAAAAAUAAACCUUAAUUUUAAAAAUUCCUUGUAUUUUUCCUCAAAUUUCAGCAUUUUCCAGAUUCUGCAAGGGGUGUAUAAACUUUUGACUUCAAUUGUAAACACACCACCAAUGCACUUCUGGUUAGAUGCUAACUGUAUUUCGUUGCCUCGUACUGUAACAUGUGCAAUGACAAUAAAGUUGAAUCUAAUCUAAUUAAUCUCUGGCAAUGACUAGCCAUUUUAGUCAUUGCACACAUUUCCAUGACCUUACUACAAAUACUACCUUGGUCACAUCCUUCAAAUAUUUUUAGUUAAAUUUGAUUCUCUUCCAAGUUAGACACUGUUUAUGGUAAAUGCAUUGGAUUGUGUGAAACAUAUGAUUAUAAAUUCUAACAUGUAUGAUAGCCUUUUAACUCAGAAUGUUCACAUCUUAUAUGCCAAUUCAUAACAACAACUUUAUUUUUUAUUUUACAUAUGUAGCACCUAUAAAGCAACUUCUCAAGGAACCAAAAAUGUACCAAAUACAUAGUAAAAAGCAAGGGACAAAAUGAUAUAAUAAAAGCAUCAAGGAAAAGCUAACCUAAAAAAUAGGUUUUAAGGUAUGAUUUAAAAAUGCUUAAAGUUUGAGCAACGCAGACCGUCUGCAGAACAGUCAAGUCUGAGAUGAGUGCAAAGUACGCUUAGGAGUGUAGAGAGUUAAAAGAGCCAACAGAUACUAAGGGGCUAGACCAAGGAGUGUCCUUAUAUGUGAGCAUAAGGAUUUAAAAAUCAACACGGAACCUCACCAGAAGCCAAUGCAUGCAUGGAACUGCAAAACAGAAGUAUCAACAUUUUGCGUUAGAUAGCCAACUAUACAUAGCUGAUGAGUGGAGCCAAUAAGUAAGACCUCAGUCUUAUCACUAUUGAGACAUAUUGGGUCAUCCAUGUUUUUUUCUCAGAAAUACAAUGUGAGAGAAUGGAAACAUCCACAUUUUGACCAGGUUUAUAGGCUUAAUCUGAGUCUUAAUCGUCUGCAUAAAAAUUAUUGUUAAAUCUAAACCCAGACCAAAAGGACAUACAUAAAUAAGUAAGGGGCUCAGAAUUUAACCCUGGGGUAACCCAGUUGAGACAUAUGUCAGACCUAAAACCAUUCAUAAAAACAAAUUGCAGGUGAUCAAAGAGAUAAGAUUUAAACCAGAUUAAAGCAGUCCCAGAAACCCCCAAAACAGUUUCAAGAUUAAAAUUGUGAUUGACAGUAUCAAAAGCUGUGCUUAGGUCAAGAAAGAUAAGAAUGGAAAGAGAACCUGAGUCAGAGGCUAUUAGAAAAUCAUUAGUGUCCUCGAUUAAAGCUGUUUGUUUAUGAAAACCAGACACAAAAACAACUGACUGAGAAGGCUCAGAAAAAGUAUUACAUAAAAUGGUUGUGCAGCUGCGCCAGAAAAUGAAAAUUUGAAAUGGGGUGGUAAUUAUAUAAGUUGUCCAAAUCAGCAUUAUGCUUUUUUGGAACUGGCAUUACAGCAGCAGUUUUUAAUUCUGCUGGAACAACACCAGUGGACAGGGAGUCAUUGAUAAUGCUGAGAAUGGCCGGGCAAUAGGUUAAAACAAGAUUUAAAUAAACCCGUAGGAUUAAGUGUGCAGAUGUGUGUUGAUGAAUUAAUUAAAUCACCAAAAAUUCUUAAAAUGCUUUAAAGUGACUAUGGUCAUGGGGUAUUGAGACUUUACAAUGUAUACAGUGUGGUCAGAGAAAACUUCACUUCCUGUGCUUGGUGUGGUUAAGACUUUUCCUCUCUUUAUAAAAUGGCAGCAGUAGAGCUCAUUUGUGUUUUAUCAAGAUUACAACAUGAAAAUCAUGCAGCUUCAGAUUUGUAAGUGUAUUUACAUGAAAUGUAAUCAUGUCUGUUUAUUUAAUCUUUUUUAUUCACAGUGCAUUUAAAUGUGAAUUCUUAAUUAUUACGGCUGUUUUAAUAGAUCUCUUUGUAUGGUGUCAAGCUGCAGAGACUUUAGAUCAACUAACAGAUUUGGGACAAAAUGUGACUAUAAACUGUGAUCUGGAUGAAGGAGACAUUUACUGGUUAUUACUGAAAGUACCAGAUCCUCCUGUGAUGAUUUUACACACUUUAUCAACAACAUCUUUAUUCUUCAACACAACAUUCAGACAGAAAUAUUCAGUGCAAUCUAAGAAUCAUCUGUUUAUAAAUAACAUCACUGUUAAUGAAUUAGGAGUUUAUUACUGUAUGAAGACAGAUACACCUCCAAAAUUCAGCAGUGGCAUCAGACUACAUAUAAAUGGUAAGUGCUCCUGUUGUAAUCAAGUAUAUUCAUAUUCGCCUUUAAUAUGCUGCAAUGAAGUACACAAACAGUACAAAUUUGUACAGCUACAGUAAAAGAUUGUAAAGUUACUCAUUAUUUGCAGAGCCAACAGAAAGUCCAAAUGAAGAGAUCAGGUAUAUACAUCAGAAUCAGACACUAUGGCAGACUCUUACACUUAUACUCGGUCUGCUGAAUGGUGUUUUGUUCAUUGUGGUCAUAGGGCUAUUAAAGGUUUUUGUUGUUGGCCAUAAAAAAUUUGGAGAAUGUUCACAACUUAACACCGACCUACAGCAGAAUCAAGUGCAUGAAGACCCAAACCAGCUACAGUAUGCAGAAGUGGACUUUACAAAAGUGCGUAAAAAGUCUCGACCCAGCAAAGCCGACAGCACCUACGCUGCUCUCAAUCUGCCAAAACUGCGAACACAACAGUAUGACUAACCAAACAUAUAUCUCACAGCAUGCAACUGUGUAGUAUUCUGAAGUACUUUAAAACCCUCAUUUCAAUUAACAGACAUGUAUAUUUUAAUAACCACUUUGAAAGGCCUGCUUAUUCACUUCCUCCCAGAAAAUCUUGUGCAAUAAACAUAUAAUUCGAUGUGACUGCUUGAAACCAGUUCUAACUGUAAAUAUAGUUUAUGUAUAGUUUGACACAAAGUUAAGUGAAAUGACUCUUUGUCAGAUGUCUGCUUUAGUCAAUAACCAAUGGAAAUGUGGCAACUGAGAUGCAGCCAUUGCUUUUCCAGUGUGGUUUGGUUAAAUAAAGUGUUUUAACAAACGUAAAGUGUGAUGUGCUGAAUUGCUGUUUGGCUGCUGAACUGAAUGUAUUUUUUGUUGUUAUAAGUUUCUUUUGUAUUACCGCCUAGCAUGACCAGUGCAUUGGUGAUCAAAAUGGUUAAUCUUCUAAUUUAUCAGAAGAAAAUGUAUGUGGUGUUACGGUGGUCAUUGAAAACUGUGAUAA
This is a long non-coding RNA of Triplophysa rosa, 15063 nucleotides long. RefSeq lists it as uncharacterized. The record is from RefSeq and is a predicted model, not a curated record. Lineage: Eukaryota; Metazoa; Chordata; Actinopteri; Cypriniformes; Nemacheilidae. The transcript has 4 exons.